Molecule: ribosomal RNA, 210 nt
Filed under: Escherichia coli
Lineage: Bacteria; Pseudomonadati; Pseudomonadota; Gammaproteobacteria; Enterobacterales; Enterobacteriaceae
Also listed under: 1 other name
Description: partial 16S ribosomal RNA
Rfam family: Bacterial small subunit ribosomal RNA
Source: RNAcentral
AAAUUGAAGAGUUUGAUCAUGGCUCAGAUUGAACGCUGGCGGCAGGCCUAACACAUGCAAGUCGAACGGUAACAGGAAACAGCUUGCUGUUUCGCUGACGAGUGGCGGACGGGUGAGUAAUGUCUGGGAAACUGCCUGAUGGAGGGGGAUAACUACUGGAAACGGUAGCUAAUACCGCAUAAUGUCGCAAGACUAAAGAGGGGGACCUUC